Gorilla gorilla gorilla (western lowland gorilla) is the source of this 1180-nucleotide long non-coding RNA. RefSeq lists it as uncharacterized. The record is from RefSeq and is a predicted model, not a curated record. NCBI's taxonomy places the organism in Eukaryota, Metazoa, Chordata, Mammalia, Primates, Hominidae. The transcript has 2 exons.
GAGGGCUUCCCAUGGCUCUGGUUUCAGGGUGUUGACCUGGGUUUGAAGAAUGGAGAUAAACCUUGUGGGAAACAACAGGUUUAGGCCACUCUCCCCUCAUUUCCUACUUCUGUCUCUUCCUCUAGGUACAGCUGUUGGGAGCUACCUCUCCUGCCCUCAAUCUCCCUGCCUGUGGUUCCAGAGGGAAGAAGAGGGGAAAAAAAGGAUGAAGAAUAUUGUUUCAGUGCUGGGGGAGAAGAAGAAGAAGGAAUUUUCAAUACUCCCACUUGUCAAGCGAAGACCAUCUGUUAACCUUCAACAGCAGCGAAAGCCGUGUGAACUCUCGGUGAACCAAGAUUGAAGUCAUAAAUCACGCGUACAAAGGCGGCUGCGGAGGCUGGCGUGGACUGCUGCACCUUUAACGCUUUCUGGGGCUGACAGGCGGCGGCCCAGCUAAAGUUCACAGCGCCCGGGGAGAGCCCGCCUCCGCCUCCCCUCCCGCCCCCGCCUCCCUUCCCCCAGGCCGGCCCCAGCCCCCAGCCCCGGACCCGCCCGUCGCGCGGCCUCCUGAGCUGCGAGCUGAAGAGGCCCCUUGGCUGUUCCCGCAAAGGGCGGGGGGCGCAUUUUCUCUCCUGCCAGCCCCUCCAUCCUGGUCGUUUACUCCCGGCCUUCCCUCACCCCCCCCACCCCCACAGCCUGCUGUACGUAAAUAGGCAAAUAGAUCUACACGGACACAAUAAUUUAGCUUGUUUGGUCUUUGGCAUUUUCUACAAGACCCCAAGAGAUGGACUUUCCUCUCCCCUUCCUCCUUUUAGAAAUGGCAUCCUUCAUCUCUGUCUAUGCAGGCCCAAUUAUCCAGAUCCUCGGGGCUCCAAUAAGGUCUGAGUCACUGGAACCAGGAACACCUGGCUGAAACAUGCCACAUAAUUAGAUUUUCUUUUUCUUUACCUUUUCUUUCUUAUUUUUAUAAGAGGCCCGGAGUUAGCCUCUUCGACUGGGGUGGAGUAGCUGGGGUGUGGGAAAGGAACACCUUCAUACAACUUCCAGCUUUCAGCCCCUUGGAGAGAUUUCCAAGUUCCCCCGAGCCGCCAGGACUUCCUUUCCUCGAUCUCUCGGCCACCUCCUCCUCCUUCUCUGAUCUUUUUUUUUUUCCCUCCCCCCACUGUCUUCUCCACGGUUUAAUUAAAGUUCAGCGACUCCA